AACGAACGCUGGCGGCGUGCUUAACACAUGCAAGUCGAACGCGAAAGGGACUUCGGUCCUGAGUAAAGUGGCGCACGGGUGAGUAACGCGUAGAUAACCUGUCUUCGUGUCUGGAAUAAUACGCCGAAAGGAGUACUAAUACCGGAUAUUCUUGCUUUAUAUAAGUUUUGCAAGCAAAGGUGGCCUCUGCAUAUGCUACCGCAUGAAGAGGGGUCUGCGUACCAUUAGCUAGUAGGUAGGGUAAUGGCCUACCUAGGCGACGAUGGUUAGCGGGUCUGAGAGGAUGAUCCGCCACACUGGCACUGGAACACGGGCCAGACUCCUACGGGAGGCAGCAGUGAGGAAUAUUGCGCAAUGGGGGCAACCCUGACGCAGCGACGCCGCGUGAGUGAGGAAGGCCUCGGUCGUAAGACUCUGUCAGAGGAAAGAAGUAGCAUAG
Molecule: ribosomal RNA, 439 nt
Filed under: uncultured bacterium
Lineage: Bacteria
Description: bacterial SSU rRNA
Rfam family: Bacterial small subunit ribosomal RNA
Source: RNAcentral